UACACACCGCCCGUCGCUACUACCGAUUGAAUGGCUGAGUGAGGCCUUCGGACUGGCCCAGGGAGGUCGGCAACGACCACCCAGGGCCGGAAAGUUGGUCAAACUCCGUCAUUUAGAGGAAGUAAAAGUCGUAACAAGGUUUCCGUAGGUGAACCUGCGGAAGGAUCAUUAAAGAGUAAGGGUGCUCAGCGCCCGACCUCCAACCCUUUGUUGUUAAAACUACCUUGUUGCUUUGGCGGGACCGCUCAGUCUCGAGCCGCUGGGGAUUCGUCCCAGGCGAGCGCCCGCCAGAGUUAAACCAAACUCUUGUUAUUAAACCGGUCGUCUGAGUUAAAAUUUUGAAUAAAUCAAAACUUUCAACAACGGAUCUCUUGGUUCUCGCAUCGAUGAAGAACGCAGCGAAAUGCGAUAAGUAAUGUGAAUUGCAGAAUUCAGUGAAUCAUCGAAUCUUUGAACGCACAUUGCGCCCCUUGGUAUUCCGAGGGGCAUGCCUGUUCGAGCGUCAUUACACCACUCAAGCUAUGCUUGGUAUUGGGUGCCGUCCUUAGUUGGGCGCGCCUUAAAGACCUCGGCGAGGCCACUCCGGCUUUAGGCGUAGUAGAAUUUAUUCGAACGUCUGUCAAAGGAGAGGAACUCUGCCGAUUGAAACCUUUAUUUUUCUAGGUUGACCUCGGAUCAGGUAGGGAUACCCGCUGAACUUAAGCAUAUCAAUAAGCGGAGGA
RNAcentral lists this ribosomal RNA (722 nucleotides) under uncultured fungus. RNAcentral describes it as "eukaryotic LSU rRNA". The stretch from base 1 to 171 matches the Rfam family "Eukaryotic small subunit ribosomal RNA", at positions 1663 to 1831 of the family's 1831-position model. Lineage: Eukaryota; Fungi. The record is from RNAcentral.